This is a non-coding RNA of Melanomma pulvis-pyrius CBS 109.77, 86 nucleotides long. NCBI's taxonomy places the organism in Eukaryota, Fungi, Ascomycota, Dothideomycetes, Pleosporales, Melanommataceae. The record is from the annotation of a GenBank genome assembly.
GGACGUGUGGCCCAAUGGCAAGGCGCUUGACUACGAUUAUCAAAAGCGGUAUCAAGAGAUUCCAGGUUCGACCCCUGGCACGUUCA